Molecule: transfer RNA, 92 nt
Filed under: Metabacillus bambusae
Lineage: Bacteria; Bacillati; Bacillota; Bacilli; Caryophanales; Bacillaceae
Description: tRNA-Ser
Rfam family: tRNA
About the family: Transfer RNA (tRNA) molecules are approximately 80 nucleotides in length. Their secondary structure includes four short double-helical elements and three loops (D, anti-codon, and T loops).
Source: RNAcentral
GGGGAAAUACUCAAGUGGCUAAAAAAGGCGCCCCUGCUAAGGGUGUAGGUCGUGUAAGCGGCGCGAGAGUUCAAAUCUCUCUUUCUCCGCCA